CCAAUAGCGUAUAUUAAAGUUGCUGCAGUUAAAAAGCUCGUAGUUGAAUUUCGGGACUAAUAUGUCGGUCGUGCCUCGGUACGUACUGGUAUUUUUGGUUUCUCCCUUCUGACGAACCUUGAUGUCAUUAAUUUGGUGUCUUGGGAAAUCAGGACUGUUACUUUGAAAAAAUUAGAGUGUUUAAAGCAGGCUCACGCUUGAAUACAUUAGCAUGGAAUAAUGAAAUAGGACGUUUGAUUCUAUUUUGUUGGUUUCUAGGAUUGACGUAAUGAUUAAUAGGGAUAGUUGGGGGCAUUAGUAUUCAAUUGUCAGAGGUGAAAUUCUUGGAUUUAUUGAAGACUAACUACUGCGAAAGCAUUUGCCAAGGAUGUUUUCAUUAAUCAAGAACGAAAGUUAGGGGAUCGAAGACGAUCAGAUACCGUCGUAGUCUUAACCAUAAACUAUGCCGACUAGGGAUCGGAUGAUGUUAAUUUUUUAAUGACUCAUUCGGCGCCUUACG
RNAcentral lists this non-coding RNA (499 nucleotides) under uncultured Glomus. RNAcentral's name for it is "SSU rRNA". It matches the Rfam family "Eukaryotic small subunit ribosomal RNA", at positions 591 to 1092 of the family's 1831-position model. The record is from RNAcentral. RNAcentral also lists the same sequence under 1 other name. Lineage: Eukaryota; Fungi; Glomeromycota; Glomeromycetes; Glomerales; Glomeraceae.